UACGUAGGGUCCGAGCGUUGUCCGGAAUUAUUGGGCGUAAAGAGCUCGUAGGCGGUUUGUCGCGUCGAAUGUGAAAACCCGGGGCUCAACCCCGGGCCUGCAUUCGAUACGGGCAGACUAGAGUUCGGUAGGGGAGUCUGGAAUUCCUGGUGUAGCGGUGAAAUGCGCAGAUAUCAGGAGGAACACCGGUGGCGAAGGCGGGACUCUGGGCCGAUACUGACGCUGAGGAGCGAAAGCGUGGGGAGCAAACAGG
Molecule: ribosomal RNA, 253 nt
Filed under: uncultured bacterium
Lineage: Bacteria
Description: partial 16S ribosomal RNA
Rfam family: Bacterial small subunit ribosomal RNA
Source: RNAcentral